AUUGAACGCUGGCGGCAGGCCUAACACAUGCAAGUCGAACGAGUGGCGGACGGGUGAGUAAUAUAUGGGAAAAUGCCUGAUGGAGGGGGAUAACUACUGGAAACGGUGGCUAAUACCGCAUAACAUAGGAUGUGCCCAAAGUGGAUUAGCUAGUAGGUGGGGUAAAGGCUCACCUAGGCGACGAUCCCUAGCUGGUCUGAGAGGAUGACCAGCCACACUGGGACUGAGACACGGUCCAGACUCCUACGGGAGGCAGCAGUGGGGAAUAUUGCACAAUGGGCGCAAGCCUGAUGCAGCCAUGCCGCGUGUAUGAAGAAGGCCUUCGGGUUGUAAAGUACUUUCAGCUGGGAGGCGUUACCCGCAGAAUAAGCACCGGCUAACUCCGUGCCAGCAGCCGCGGUAAUUC
This 406-nucleotide ribosomal RNA is filed under the name uncultured bacterium. Its description in RNAcentral is "partial 16S ribosomal RNA". It matches the Rfam family "Bacterial small subunit ribosomal RNA", at positions 30 to 526 of the family's 1533-position model. The record is from RNAcentral.